AGAGUUUGAUCAUGGCUCAGGAUAAACGCUGGCGGCGUGCUUAACACAUGCAAGUCGAACGGAAAGGCCCUGCUUUUGUGGGGUGCUCGAGUGGCGAACGGGUGAGUAACACGUGAGUAACCUGCCCUUGACUUUGGGAUAACUUCAGGAAACUGGGGCUAAUACCGGAUAGGAGCUCCUGCUGCAUGGUGGGGGUUGGAAAGUUUCGGCGGUUGGGGAUGGACUCGCGGCUUAUCAGCUUGUUGGUGGGGUAGUGGCUUACCAAGGCUUUGACGGGUAGCCGGCCUGAGAGGGUGACCGGCCACAUUGGGACUGAGAUACGGCCCAGACUCCUACGGGAGGCAGCAGUGGGGAAUAUUGCACAAUGGGCGGAAGCCUGAUGCAGCAACGCCGCGUGCGGGAUGACGGCCUUCGGGUUGUAAACCGCUUUCGCCUGUGACGAAGCGUGAGUGACGGUAAUGGGUAAAGAAGCACCGGCUAACUACGUGCCAGCAGCCGCGGUGAUACGUAGGGUGCGAGCGUUGUCCGGAUUUAUUGGGCGUAAAGGGCUCGUAGGUGGUUGAUCGCGUCGGAAGUGUAAUCUUGGGGCUUAACCCUGAGCGUGCUUUCGAUACGGGUUGACUUGAGGAAGGUAGGGGAGAAUGGAAUUCCUGGUGGAGCGGUGGAAUGCGCAGAUAUCAGGAGGAACACCAGUGGCGAAGGCGGUUCUCUGGGCCUUUCCUGACGCUGAGGAGCGAAAGCGUGGGGAGCGAACAGGCUUAGAUACCCUGGUAGUCCACGCUGUAAACGGUGGGUACUAGGUGUGGGGUCCAUUCCACGGGUUCCGUGCCGUAGCUAACGCUUUAAGUACCCCGCCUGGGGAGUACGGCCGCAAGGCUAAAACUCAAAUGAAUUGACGGA
Molecule: ribosomal RNA, 900 nt
Filed under: uncultured bacterium
Lineage: Bacteria
Description: bacterial SSU rRNA
Rfam family: Bacterial small subunit ribosomal RNA
Source: RNAcentral